GAUGAACGCUGGCGGCGUGCUUAACACAUGCAAGUCGAACGAGAAGUGAAGACGGAAACCUUCGGGCGGAAGGCUUUAUUUCGAGUGGCGGACGGGUGAGUAACGCGUGGGUAACCUGCCUCAUACAGGGGGAUAACAGUUGGAAACGACUGUUAAUACCGCAUAAGACCACAGCACCGCAUGGUGCGGGGGUAAAAACUCCGGUGGUAUGAGAUGGACCCGCGUUCGAUUAGCCAGUUGGCGGGGUAACGGCCCACCAAAGCGACGAUCGAUAGCCGAUCUGAGAGGAUGACCGGACACAUUGGGACUGAGACACGGCCCAAACUCCUACGGGAGGCAGCAGUGGGGAAUAUUGCACAAUGGGGGAAACCCUGAUGCAGCGACGCCGCGUGAGUGAAGAAGUAUUUCGGUAUGUAAAGCUCUAUCAGCAGGGAAGAAAAUGACGGUACCUGAGGAAGAAGCCCCGGCUAACUACGUG
This 478-nucleotide ribosomal RNA is filed under the name uncultured bacterium. Its description in RNAcentral is "partial 16S ribosomal RNA". It matches the Rfam family "Bacterial small subunit ribosomal RNA", at positions 28 to 507 of the family's 1533-position model. The record is from RNAcentral.